This is a long non-coding RNA of Brienomyrus brachyistius, 460 nucleotides long. RefSeq lists it as uncharacterized. The record is from RefSeq and is a predicted model, not a curated record. NCBI's taxonomy places the organism in Eukaryota, Metazoa, Chordata, Actinopteri, Osteoglossiformes, Mormyridae. The transcript is spliced from 3 exons.
AAUAGAAAGGGACUCCAUCUAAAACUGUCUGGUUCUGUCUUUCUGUUAAGUCAAAUAUUUACUAAAAUACAAUCACUUAAGACCGAAAGAAACUGGUCUGCACCGCGGCGCCGAGGAAAAGACUCCCAGAACUUUCAGCGUGUCUCCUCUCGCCUUUACGCCGCCAAAGAGAUAUGGGAACUCGUCCACGUAGCUGCGGAGAGACUCGAGGGGCUGUUUGGGAUCGAUGCCAAGGAGCAUCACGGAAAGAGCCCACUGUUGGUUGUAGUGACCGCCAAUCAGCUGCACAUCGCUUGUGACCUCAUCAGGCUGGGCGCCGAUGUGAACACAGCCAACGACUGAGGCCGUUCCGCCGUUCACCUGGCCUUGACGUACAGCUUUGUGGAGGUUAUUCAGGAAUCUCAGAGAGGCUGUCAAACACCAGGAACCCCCAGCCGCUCAGAUGUCAGGUGCCCUGAGG